Molecule: ribosomal RNA, 479 nt
Filed under: uncultured organism
Description: partial 16S ribosomal RNA
Rfam family: Bacterial small subunit ribosomal RNA
Source: RNAcentral
CGUACACUCCUACGGGAGGCAGCAGUGGGGAAUUUUGGACAAUGGGCGAAAGCCUGAUCCAGCCAUGCCGCGUGCAGGAUGAAGGCCUUCGGGUUGUAAACUGCUUUUGUACGGAACGAAACGGCCUUUUCUAAUAAAGAGGGCUAAUGACGGUACCGUAAGAAUAAGCACCGGCUAACUACGUGCCAGCAGCCGCGGUAAUACGUAGGGUGCAAGCGUUAAUCGGAAUUACUGGGCGUAAAGCGUGCGCAGGCGGUUAUGUAAGACAGUUGUGAAAUCCCCGGGCUCAACCUGGGAACUGCAUCUGUGACUGCAUAGCUAGAGUACGGUAGAGGGGGAUGGAAUUCCGCGUGUAGCAGUGAAAUGCGUAGAUAUGCGGAGGAACACCGAUGGCGAAGGCAAUCCCCUGGACCUGUACUGACGCUCAUGCACGAAAGCGUGGGGAGCAAACAGGAUUAGAAACCCUGGUAGUCCCAUGA